This is a long non-coding RNA of Gavialis gangeticus (Gharial), 309 nucleotides long. RefSeq lists it as uncharacterized. Lineage: Eukaryota; Metazoa; Chordata; Crocodylia; Gavialidae. The transcript has 3 exons. The record is from RefSeq and is a predicted model, not a curated record.
GGAAGAAGCAGGGGGACGUUUAUUUGCUUUCUCUGGAGCUACUGAGGUAAGAAAAAGGAAAGGCCCAUAAAGGGACUGCAAUAAGUCUGCUGGAGAUGUCUUUGCAGCCUCUUUCUCCUCCCCAGACUGGAAUGUGCUUAAGCUCCUUUGGUCUGCUUAUUUCUUUUCUCUGGCAGCCCUUGGGGCAGAGUUUAUCAGCUGUGUCCCUUCCCCUGAACCCCAUUUUGAAGUGGCAUCAAGACUUUACAAGCUGAUGUAAUUCAACAGCUGCAUGGACCGGCAGGGUGAUUUUAAAAGAUGUAUUACCCA